This 276-nucleotide ribosomal RNA is filed under the name Triticum aestivum (bread wheat). RNAcentral describes it as "partial small subunit ribosomal RNA". Lineage: Eukaryota; Viridiplantae; Streptophyta; Magnoliopsida; Poales; Poaceae. The record is from RNAcentral.
AUGGAGGUCGAUGGCGCCGAGGUCGAGGAGGCCACCCAGGAUAAGGCCGCUGCCAAGGCGCUCGGGACCAAGAUCUGCUCGGCCUCGGGUGACGUCGAGGCGCUCUUGCUCCCGUGGAUGACCCCUCCCGGGGACCUCGACAAGGGUAUGAUUUCCUCCUCUUCUCCUCUUCUUCUGGCUUUCUUCUUCGCCGCAUCUGAUGCGUACACGCUUUGCGUGUUUGAGGGCCAGGGAGAAGCUGCUCAAUCUGACGAGUUCGGAUGCCCGCCAAGGUGA